Molecule: ribosomal RNA, 266 nt
Filed under: uncultured soil bacterium
Lineage: Bacteria
Description: partial 16S ribosomal RNA
Rfam family: Bacterial small subunit ribosomal RNA
Source: RNAcentral
AGAAUCAACGCUGGCGGCGUGCCUAACACAUGCAAGUCGAACGCGAAAGCCCCGCAAGGGGUGAGUAGAGUGGCAAACGGGUGAGUAACGCGUGGGUGAUCUACCUCUGAGUGGGGGAUAACCGUCCGAAAGGAGGCUAAUACCGCAUCACAUUGCGCUCUUGGAUGAGUGCGUAUCAAAGCUGGAACCGCAAGGUCUGGCGCUUGGGAGAGGAGCCCGCGUCCGAUUAGCUAGUUGGUGCGGUAAUGGCUCACCAAGGCGACGAU